This 921-nucleotide ribosomal RNA is filed under the name uncultured bacterium. RNAcentral describes it as "bacterial SSU rRNA". It matches the Rfam family "Bacterial small subunit ribosomal RNA", at positions 8 to 916 of the family's 1533-position model. The record is from RNAcentral.
AGAGUUUGAUCAUGGCUCAGGACAAACGCUGGCGGCGUGCCUAACACAUGCAAGUCGAGCGUGAAAGGAGCUUCGGCUCCGAGUAAAGCGGCGAACGGGUGAGUAACACGUGGGUAACCUGCCUCAAGGACUGGGAUAACUCCGGGAAACCGGGGCUAAUACCGGACGAUGUCGUCCGGCGCAAGCCGGCCGACCAAAGGUAGCUUCGGCCUCUGCCUUGAGAUGGGCCCGCGUCCUAUCAGCUUGUGGGUGAGGUAACGGCUCACCAAGGCUACGACGGGUAGCUGGUCUGAGAGGAUGAUCAGCCACACUGGGACUGAGAUACGGCCCAGACUCCUACGGGAGGCAGCAGUGGGGAAUCUUGCGCAAUGGGCGAAAGCCUGACGCAGCAACGCCGCGUGAGCGAAGAAGGCCUUCGGGUUGUAAAGCUCUGUCAGGGGGAAAGAAGGCACCUGGGUUAAUAGCCCAAGGGCUGACGGUACCUCCAAAGGAAGCCACGGCUAACUACGUGCCAGCAGCCGCGGUAAUACGUAGGUGGCAAGCGUUGUCCGGAAUCAUCGGGCGUAAAGAGCGCGUAGGUGGCUUGUCAGGUCUGAUGUGAAAACCUGGGGCUCAACUCCAGGCUUGCAUCAGAAACCGGCUUGCUAGAGUCUGGGAGAGGAGAGUGGAAUUCCUGGUGUAGCGGUGAAAUGCGUAGAUAUCAGGAGGAACACCGGUAGCGAAGGCGGCUCUCUGGAACAGUACUGACGCUGAGGCGCGAAAGCUAGGGGAGCGAACAGGAUUAGAUACCCUGGUAGUCCUAGCCGUAAACGAUGGACACUAGGUGUCGGGGGUGUCGACUCCCUCGGUGCCGAAGCUAACGCAUUAAGUGUCCCGCCUGGGGACUACGGCCGCAAGGCUAAAACUCAAAUGAAUUGACGG